RNA transcript from Triticum dicoccoides, 4489 nucleotides. RefSeq lists it as uncharacterized. NCBI's taxonomy places the organism in Eukaryota, Viridiplantae, Streptophyta, Magnoliopsida, Poales, Poaceae. The transcript is spliced from 9 exons. The record is from RefSeq and is a predicted model, not a curated record.
ACCCAUGGACCCCAUCCUUUGUUGCCCUCUCCCAUCGAUCCCAUCUACCCCCGCCGCCGCCGUCCGAGGGGGAGACGGCGCCGCCGCCGCCUCUGCAAGGCAGGGCGGUUUGAAUCCCGCCGCCGCCGAACUCCGGGAAACGCCCGACGGUGUACCCUGGAAGGCCUGGAUCAAGGAGGAGCACAGACAGAUCCUGCCGUUGGCCGCGACCCUCGUCGUCUACCUCCACCGGCCAUCCCGCACACCCUUGCUCUCCAUGCAUCGCGCCAUUCCCCACCCCGUUGUGCCCCGCCUCUGUCCUAACCGUCGAAAUCGGCCUCGCCGGCGGCGCCGCUCCCGUGUGCUUCGUGCUCCUGCGCUGCUGCCGUCGCGAUGUCCGGGGGAUCCAUGGCGGCCAGCUGCUUGUCAACCACCACGAGCGGAGGUAGCGAGUUGGAUUUGGCCACGCCUGAGGUGAGCGGAGCAGAGCAGCGUGGUCAUACCUCCUGAUUGAACAAAAAUCUCAUACGCUUGACUACACGAUCUGUCAUGUUCUUGUGGGCCGGCAGCGAUUUCGUGGCCGCGGCAUAGCGGCGCGGUGGCGGGGGGUCGCGGCGUCCCAUGUGGGUGCAGUGGUCACGGCAGCAGGCACACACGGCGGUGGUCGCGCAUGGGGCUGCGCUGGUCUGUGACCACAUGGUGGCGGAAGAAGGUCGUCUUCCCAGAGCACCGCACGCUGGCCGCCAUCUCCAUCGGCGGCCGCACCAACAAGACAGGAGGAAUAUGAAAAGGAGAUCAAUGACACCAGGUCCCACGAGCUCAUGUAAGUUGAAGAGGCAAAAAUUCUUGAUAACGUGGAGCAUACUCGCAUUAUCGUCAUUUUGUAACCUAUUAGGCCUUCAUAAUUCUUCAUGGGAUGUAAAAUUGGUUGUAUUAUUAACAAAACUCAUUAAUAUGAACAAUCCAGGUAUAUUUGCACUUCUAUAGAUUGUGAAAGUUUCAAAUAUUUAACCACGCGGAUAUCACGAUGAUACAUGUACAGAUUGAUGGAGUAGUAACUUCAAUUUAUUUCUUAAAAUGUAAGAAAUAUGGAUAAAAUAUGAUAAGAAUAGCAAAAUUGUGUUUGCACGAUGACGAUGCACAUGUUUUUCCGUGUGUAUUGGUAUACACUAGAUGACUAGAAUGUAUAUAUUACAUCUUGUUUAUCUUUUAUUUUCACAUGAUUUAUUUAUCUUUUGGCAUAUUGGGCAUCUUGCGGCUUUCUGAAUGGUGCCUUGCUAGGAUGACCCAAAUUAUGUUAGUGUCGGUACGUUUAGUUGGUGAUGGUUUAGCGGGAGCGACAACUGCAUCUGUAACUUACAUAACUUACCCAUUGGAUGUUGUUCGAACUCGCUUGGCAACACAGGUAACGUCCGUGAUGUGUCCUGUUUAACUCUUUGGGAUGUUCAGUCCAUUGCUUAUAUUGCUGGUACAGGAGGGUGAGGCAGUGUCAAAGCUACUUAGCAUUCUAAGAUUGUGAACCAGUAUAUGGGUUUGCACAUCUGAGUGCUGGUGAUCUUCUUCGCGAAGAAGUUAAAUGUGAUAUGGAGCAGAUUAAAAUUGACCAUGAGCUCGUACUAUUAAUUGAUGGCUCAAGGGAAGAGACAGCGGCAUAUUCUUAGUUGAAAUCAGUUUGAUGUUUUUUAGGAAUGAAUUCCACUCGUUAUUAAUACCACUAUGAGAAAAGUAGUGAAAUGCUGGCCGUCUGCAAAAUGUACUGGUCCGUCUCGCGGUCUCACCCCAAAAACAGAGGAGAGGAGCAGGGAGCUCCUCCCUCACACUUGUCGGCUCCAAGGAGCCCCGCCACCAUGCAUGGAGAAGAGGAGCGCGGAGCUCCACCGCCGCGUAAGGCAAACCAAGGCUGCAACGUUUGAAUAUUAUACUCAGUCAGUUGCUCGACUACUUACAGUCCUAUUACUUGAGACUUAAUACUCGGUCAGCUGCCGUGUACAUUGUUCUGACAUAAAUGCCACCAUGUCUAUGCGCAAGUCAGAAGGAACUUACCAUCUAAAAAGAUGUCUAAUUAGUGUGGUACAUGCUUCAGUACUGCAAGUUGGAGUAGCAAUGCCUACCUGCACAUUGAUGCUCAUACCUGACGGUGAGAGAAGUUGCAUCUUGAGAUUCAAUUCUUUGACUUAUGAUGCCCAGCCAUAUGCACAAUGAGAACAUAUAUCCUUUUUACUAAUCUCUGUUUUUCGAAGUUGAAACUAUUUCUUUGUUACUUGGUGUGUGUGAAGUGCAAUCAUAGUCCUGUCACAAACUUGUUUGAGGACGGCAAAAGACUGGCCUUUUGCCGGACAAAGAAAAGACCGGCUUAUUUUAUUUUAUCACAACAUAGCAAGCUCCAUAUAUUUCAGUUACUACAUGGCAGGAUGCAGACUAUGUGCAGUAUUAGUGGUGUUUAGACACCAAAAUGGCAGUAUUAGUGGUGUUUUAAAGAGAAAGAUUCGUAAAUGAUGUUGUUUUCUACUAAGAAAAAUCAGUAGUCGGUGUCACCAUUGAGUGCCAAUGUGAUGGGCAUUUAAGAUUUAGAUUCAGAACUCCAGGGUUCAACACAGAUGGCUUCACUUCAAUAUUUUUCCCCAUGUGGUUGAUGGAUGCGUACAUAUCUAUGUACACUGGUAGAUAUCCAUCCAUUCAACUUCAGUUUUGAUGCAUCGUGUAUACUGAAUCCUACAUUAUGUUGAGAAAUUUAGAUAUAUAAAAGUAUCUGUAAGCCGACCACAUACCACACAUUUUAAAGGUUUAUUUUCUCUACAUCUGUACUAGCUUUGAACCAAGUAUUUCUACUUUCUUUUUGUUUGUUGCCAAAAAUUAAGGAAUGUCGAUCUGAUGUAUUUUUACAACAAUUAGCGUGUUGACGUGGAGCUUGUCCAUUCGCGACAUACCUUGUUUAUGUGGGAGGGUUGGAUGAUUGAAAGUCGGACGUACCAUUAACGACGGUUGUGAGCAUGGAUUGGGGAGACGAAGAUUAUGGGAGCACAAGAAAGAAAAGAAGAAGAAAACACGUUGCGGAGCGUAGCGGCCUCCUAGUUCUUGGCCUCUGUCGGGUGGCUAGACCACGCCACAUAGAAGACGAGGGUUAUGUCAGUUAGGGGCCUCGGCAAAGACGACGAGAAUGGCCAGGUCGAAAUCACAGGUGCGUGACGGCUGGAGACGGCCGCAGGGUCUAGAGAUGGGGCGCACGGCGGGUGUGUUCUACUUCCCAUUGAGAGAAUUCUGGUGGGUUUCUCUAAUAGUAUGCCAAACUAACUAACAAUUGUAGUUAACUAUACCGCAGCGGCGCACUUCUUAUAUUGGGAUUAAGCCUAAUGCUUGCUCUACCAAUCAAGAAGUACUAUUGUGAACUCAUAGGUAAAACCAUUCUCUAUCCAAUACAGUGUUAGCAUAGCUUUACGUAGAUUGGCAUGGCUGAUCUUCCCUUCCAUUAUUAUUGCUACUUUAUGUUUUAAUUCCAUUGUUCUUCACUUGAUCUUCGGAUCCAUGUUCCAGUGACUUCCUGAACUUUUACUUGUUGAUGGGAAGUUUCUAUUUUAAUUUUUCUUUCACUUUAUCUUCAGGUUUACAGAAUUCCAUGUUUACUUAUCUAGCUUUCUGUUCUCAUUCUGUUUGAAAUCCAUCGACAUUUUCCAAAAUUCCCUUAUCAAUGCACGAGUUUCCUUUCUUAAUUAACAUGUGAAGUUCCUUGUUCAACAAUGAUUUUUAGGCCAUCAGAGGAUGCGGGUUGUACCAUUGAAGACAGAAAAUUAUGAGAAAACUACAAUAUAUGAUAGGCUUGGUUGAUACCUUCAGAAAAGCUACAUCCCAAUAAUGUUGUGGGUUACACCUUCUGGCUUGAAAAUCAGCUUCAUAACAAGAAAGUUGCAACACUACAUUGGUCGAUAAUUGCAUUAAAUAAAUGCUGUAAUGGUGCAUUUGUUUUUAGAUUUCUAUUAACCUGGUACCAAAAAGUUGGAGAGCAAGGACCUUAUAUCAGUGGUGUUUAUACUCCAAAAUUGCAGUAUCAGUGGUGUUUAUACUCCAAAAUUGCAGUAUCAAUGGUGUUUUGAUUCCAAAACCUAUCUAGAGUAAUCUGUCAUUUGUUCUUCAAAGAGAUUGCGUAUCUGUUACCCCAUGUCAGGUUCAGUACCUCUGGGUUCAAGAUCUAUAGCUACAAGUAUUUUUGACUAGAUUGUGGUCAUAUAUGUGCUAAUUCAUGCUGAUACGCAUGCUCUUUGAACUUUUGAAAGGAAUGGAUGAAAUCAUCAUUAGAGCUUCUACAAAUGGGAUCUCUCCUAUAAUCCCCGCUAUAGUUACUUCACUGGUCUGACUUUUGAGUAACUUGAUAUAUGUGUCUCCCAGACAAAAAUAUUUUUAUUUAUUAGUUGUAUACAUCAUAGGUUAAUACUCGUGGAUGUUGAAGAAGUUAAAUGCUAUGUACUCUUUAUUAGUUUGGUUUGAAAUGUAAAGGAUGGCAAGCUUCUUCAGUUUA